AGGACGAACGCUGGCGGCGUGCUUAACACAUGCAAGUCGAGCGGAAAGGCCCUUCGGGGUACUCGAGCGGCGAACGGGUGAGUAACACGUGAGCAACCUGCCCCUGGCUCUGGGAUAGCCUUCGGAAACGGGGAUUAAUACCGGAUAUUCACUGCUUCCUGCAUGGGGGGUGGUGGAAAGUUUUUCGGCUGGGGUGGGCUCGCGGCCUAUCAGCUUGUUGGGGGGUGACGGCCCACCAAGGCGACGACGGGUAGCCGGCCUGAGAGGGCGACCGGCCACACUGGGACUGAGACACGGCCCAGACUCCUACGGGAGGCAGCAGUGGGGAAUAUGCGCAAUGGGCGGAAGCCUGACGCAGCGACGCCGCGUGCGGGAUGAAGGCCUUCGGGUUGUAACCGCUUCACCAGGGACGAAGCGAGAGUGACGGUACCUGGGAAGAAGCGCCGGCUAACUACGUGCCAGCAGCCGC
RNAcentral lists this ribosomal RNA (469 nucleotides) under uncultured bacterium. RNAcentral's name for it is "SSU rRNA". It matches the Rfam family "Bacterial small subunit ribosomal RNA", at positions 26 to 518 of the family's 1533-position model. The record is from RNAcentral.